RNAcentral lists this long non-coding RNA (563 nucleotides) under Capra hircus (goat). RNAcentral's name for it is "lncRNA (ENSCHIG00010032003.1)". The record is from RNAcentral. Lineage: Eukaryota; Metazoa; Chordata; Mammalia; Artiodactyla; Bovidae.
GUUAGAUGUAUACCGGAUAGCACUGCUCUUACUAACCCUGCCCAAUUCCUGAAUACAUUUGGUGAUAGGUUUACAGUACUGGUUUUUUAAACAGAAUGACAUUUUAAAUACAUACUGCUGGCGUGUCCCUGAUAUGCCAUCCAAAUUUACUUUGAGUCUUAGUGAGCCGUAGAGCUCUGAUUAUCUGUUUCCUUAUGAGUACUUACAUAAUCAACUAUAACCUGGGUAUGUAAUGUGUAUUCUAGGGUAUGAAAUGUGUAUUCUAUGAAGCUAAAAAUAGGAAAGGCACCACUCAUUCAAGGGUUAAUUUAAGACUCCAGAAGAGGCAGCUUCACCAUCUGGACCCCAAACCAGAGUCAACCAUCCAGGGCCAGACACACCUUCCUCCGGUGAGCCACAAAGGUGAUGGUGAAAGUUACACCAAGUCAAAACUUUCUUGUACUUCAAGGAAACGGCAUUCACCAGUUAACACAAAGGCUGUAUACUCCCAAAGACACUCUUGCUACUCUGCUGUACAAAAUUCAAAAUGACUUAAGGAAGCACCAGAGUCCUCUGAGGCAUUU